GAUGAACGCUGGCGGCGUGCCUAAUACAUGCAAGUCGAGCGAACAGACGAGGAGCUUGCUCCUCUGACGUUAGCGGCGGACGGGUGAGUAACACGUGGAUAACCUACCUAUAAGACUGGGAUAACUUCGGGAAACCGGAGCUAAUACCGGAUAAUAUAUUGAACCGCAUGGUUCAAUAGUGAAAGACGGUUUUGCUGUCACUUAUAGAUGGAUCCGCGCCGCAUUAGCUAGUUGGUAAGGUAACGGCUUACCAAGGCAACGAUGCGUAGCCGACCUGAGAGGGUGAGCGGCCACACUGGAACUGAGACCCGGUCCAGACUCCUACGGGAGGCAGCAGUAGGGAAUCUUCCGCAAGGGGGGAAAGCCUGACGGAGCAACGCCGCGUGGGUGAUGAAGGUCUUCGGAUUGUAAAACUCUUUUAUUAGGGAAAAACAAAUGUGUAAGUAACUAUGCACGUCUUGACGGUACCUAAUCAAAAAGCCCCGGCAAACUACGU
Molecule: ribosomal RNA, 496 nt
Filed under: uncultured bacterium
Lineage: Bacteria
Description: partial 16S ribosomal RNA
Rfam family: Bacterial small subunit ribosomal RNA
Source: RNAcentral